UGGCUCAGAGCGAACGCUGGCGGCAGGCCUAAUACAUGCAAGUCGAACGGCUCUUCGGAGCAGUGGCGGACGGGUGAGUAACGCGUGGGAAUAUGCCCUUUGGUACGGAACAACUGAGGGAAACUUCAGCUAAUACCGUAUGUGCCCUUCGGGGGAAAGAUUUAUCGCCAUUGGAGUAGCCCGCGUUGGAUUAGCUAGUUGGUGAGGUAAAGGCUCACCAAGGCUACGAUCCAUAGCUGGUCUGAGAGGAUGAUCAGCCACACUGGGACUGAGACACGGCCCAGACUCCUACGGGAGGCAGCAGUAGGGAAUCUUGCGCAAUGGGCGAAAGCCUGACGCAGCCAUGCCGCGUGAAUGAUGAAGGUCUUAGGAUUGUAAAAUUCUUUCACCGGGGAAGAUAAUGACGGUACCCGGAGAAGAAGCCCCGGCUAACUCG
RNAcentral lists this ribosomal RNA (436 nucleotides) under bacterium gwi41. RNAcentral's name for it is "bacterial SSU rRNA". It matches the Rfam family "Bacterial small subunit ribosomal RNA", at positions 20 to 504 of the family's 1533-position model. The record is from RNAcentral.